RNAcentral lists this ribosomal RNA (660 nucleotides) under uncultured Pseudomonadota bacterium. RNAcentral describes it as "bacterial SSU rRNA". It matches the Rfam family "Bacterial small subunit ribosomal RNA", at positions 49 to 697 of the family's 1533-position model. The record is from RNAcentral. Lineage: Bacteria; Pseudomonadati; Pseudomonadota.
UAACACAUGCAAGUCGAACGGUAACAGGAAGAAGCUUGCUUCUUUGUUGACGAGUGGCGGACGGGUGAGUAAUGUCUGGGAAACUGCCUGAUGGAGGGGGAUAACUACUGGAAACGGUAGCUAAUACCGCAUAACGUCGCAAGACCAAAGAGGGGGACCUUCGGGCCUCUUGCCAUCGGAUGUGCCCAGAUGGGAUUAGCUAGUAGGUGGGGCAACGGCUCACCUAGGCGACGAUCCCUAGCUGGUCUGAGAGGAUGACCAGCCACACUGGAACUGAGACACGGUCCAGACUCCUACGGGAGGCAGCAGUGGGGAAUAUUGCACAAUGGGCGCAAGGCCUGAUGCAGCCAUGCCGCGUGUAUGAAGAAGGCCUUCGGGUUGUAAAGUACUUUCAGCGGGGAGGAAGGGAGUAAAGUUAAUACCUUUGCUCAUUGACGUUACCCGCAGAAGAAGCACCGGCUAACUCCGUGCCAGCAGCCGCGGUAAUACGGAGGGUGCAAGCGUUAAUCGGAAUUACUGGGCGUAAAGCGCACGCAGGCGGUUUGUUAAGUCAGAUGUGAAAUCCCCGGGCUCAACCUGGGAACUGCAUCUGAUACUGGCAAGCUUGAGUCUCGUAGAGGGGGGUAGAAUUCCAGGUGUAGCGGUGAAAUGCGUAGAGAU